RNAcentral lists this long non-coding RNA (609 nucleotides) under Capsella rubella. RNAcentral describes it as "long non-coding RNA (CRUB_LNC000898)". The record is from RNAcentral. Lineage: Eukaryota; Viridiplantae; Streptophyta; Magnoliopsida; Brassicales; Brassicaceae.
GAAGUUUGUGCGACUCAGAUAAGCCUGGGAAUAGGCCAGACGGGUGGUGAUGAGUACGAAAUCAAGAGGGCUUUGGAUUUUGGCAGUGGUGAAAACAGCAGCAGGAUAUACCUGAAUCUGGGUGCAAUAAUUGCGGAGAGUAGCCAAAACGUCAUCACGGUCUCAUCAAGCGAUUCGGCUUUGGUUCCGCCAACUACUCCGUCUUCCAUUUUUUCAUUCUCAAUGGACGACCUUACUUCGGAUGUAGACGAAGAUGAUAUCAUGGGAAGAUAACUAAUUUUUUAUUUAGCUAAUUAGUAUUUUAACUGCAUUAUAGCCUAUAUGCUAAUGCCCUCUGAUUUUGCAGAAGAUAGCUUGAUUGCUCAUUACUACUCAGAGUCAAAUGGGGCAAUGUGUGAACUCUGGAGCAAGCUACAGAACCAGCUGGAUUAGGGGAUAAAGGGAAGAGUAUCAUGAUAGAACCAGAAGUAGUGGAGGUUACACCGGUAACACGAACGCUAUCGGCUAGAACACCUAUUAUCGCUGAAGCUCGAGAGAGGGUCCCUAAUGCACCAGUUCCGACGGUCCUGUACGACAUGGAUGCGCCACCAUAUUUUGACGACCCAGGCG